UAAAUAUUUGAGAAUAAAGGUGCGUGUACUUAAAGUACGGCUUAAAAGGGAAGCAGGUUAAAGUCCUGCACGGUCCCGCCACUGUAAUGGGGAGAUGUUUCAUACAAUAGGCCACUGGUUCAUACCGGGAAGGCGUGAUGUAUUUAAAUGAACCAAAGUCAGAAGACCUGCCUUUGUUAAUGAACCAGU
RNAcentral lists this non-coding RNA (189 nucleotides) under Desulfosporosinus youngiae. Lineage: Bacteria; Bacillati; Bacillota; Clostridia; Eubacteriales; Desulfitobacteriaceae. RNAcentral also lists the same sequence under 1 other name. The record is from RNAcentral.